UAACACCCCAUUUUAAAAAAAACCAAAAAAACUCUGAAACCCUCUCCCCCGUCCUCUGGCCUAAGUUCCAACAACGGCCGAUGGCCACCGCUCCAGGUGCCCACGUGCCGCCGUGCACGACGGUCGGAAGGCCAAAAAUCCUUCCUCUUGCAGUCGAAACACAGGUAAUCACAAGAUCUCCGGCGGAGAUAAAGGGGACCUUCGUUUGGUGCUUGCGGCGCGAGGAGAGGGCUAGGGUUUCUCUAACCCUAGCCGAAUGCUUCUAAAUUUUGGGCCUCUGAGAGUUUGGGUCUAUAACGGGUAGGGAUGGUUUAGAUCUGUUAGGUCGGGUUAGGUAUUGGGUUAAGUUUGGCUGAUGGAUCUGUGUAUUUGGGCUACGGGACUGCUUUGGGGUUUUGGGUAGUAAUGGGUAGGUUUAGGUGGGUUAUUGGUUUUUAACAUUUGUAAAAGGACUAUUAAAAAAAACUUUUAUUAUUAUUUUUUUGAUAUUUUGGAAUAUGCCUUGGCUUCUAAUGGGCCGGGCAAAAUUGAGGUAUUAUAA
Long non-coding RNA from Gossypium arboreum, 541 nucleotides. RefSeq lists it as uncharacterized. The record is from RefSeq and is a predicted model, not a curated record. Lineage: Eukaryota; Viridiplantae; Streptophyta; Magnoliopsida; Malvales; Malvaceae. The transcript has 2 exons.